AUGUUUUGCCGUGUGGUUAAACCGGCUCUGGCUGCGGCCGUGGGAGGAGGGGUGUGCUCACCCUGUGAUUACACCCCCACACUUAAAACACGGAUGGGGACACAUCCAGACCCAUCCCACAGCACCCUGCAGCCACGGGAACUGGGUGCCACAGCCCCGAGUGCCGUUCCCAGUGUGGCCCCUGCCAAAAGGAGGUCAGCCUGGGCCCAUGCUGUGGCUAAUCCAGCCGGCAAAUCCCCUGGAGGCACAUGUGCUGGGCACACGUGGCCAGAGCAGGGCCAGGAUGUGGCACCCAGGGAUCGGGAUGGGGCACCCAGGGGUCAGGAUGUGGCACUGGAGGCUGCCCCCAGGCUGCGGGUGCUGAGGGGUGUCCAGUGUGGGGGGCGGUUGGGUUUUGGUACUCGGGUGUUGAUGUGUGUCCAUGUCACUCAGGUGUGCCCAUGUCCCUGCCUGUGCCAUGGCUGUGGGUGCCCAUGUCCCUGUGUCCCCAUGUGUCCCUAUAUCCACAUGUGGGGAUGUGGAUAUCUGUGUCCCCAUGUCUGUUCCUGUCCCUGUCAUUCUCCUGGUGACAGUUGGUUUCCCUGUCCCUGCGCCCAUCCCUGUUCCUGUUCUCCUGCUGCUGCUGGUUCCCAUUCUGGUCCCAGCACUUGUCCCUGUCUUGCUCCUGCUCCCAGUCCCUGCCCCUGUUUCUCUCCUGCUUCCCAUCCUCCUCCUGGUCCCUCUGCAUUUUCCCAUCCCGGUCCUGGCCUUUGUCCCCGUGUUGGUCCCACUUCCUGUUGUUCUUCCAGUGCCUCUCCUUUUUCCUGUUUUCCACCAGGUUCCUGCUUCUGUUCCUGGUCUCAUCCUUGUCUCUGCUCCUGCUCCCUCCCUGUCCCAGUGCUGGUUCCCAUCCCAGUCUCAGUCCUUGGCUGUGUUAAAUCUCCAUCCUGGUCCCAGUUGCAUGUCCCUGUCCCUCUGUUAGUCCCUGUCCCGAUCACCUUCCUCAUCCCUGCUCUGUCCAAGUGUCCAGCUCGGUCAUGCUCCUUGUCCCUGUCUCAGUCUUGGUCCCUGUUCACUGUCACUGUACUUCUCCUGCUCUCUGUCCUCAUCCUGGUCUGCAUCCCCAUCCCUAUCUCCUAUCCUGGCAGUGGUUCCUGUCCCUGUUCUUGUCCCAGUCUCCAUCCCUGUCCCCAUCCCCUGUCUCUGCAAUUAUCCCGACCCUUGUCUCGAACCCUGUCCCAAUUCCCAUCCUGA
This 1233-nucleotide long non-coding RNA is filed under the name Chloebia gouldiae (Gouldian finch). Its description in RNAcentral is "Erythrura gouldiae (Gouldian finch) lncRNA (ENSEGOG00005014432.1)". Lineage: Eukaryota; Metazoa; Chordata; Aves; Passeriformes; Passeridae. The record is from RNAcentral.